Molecule: ribosomal RNA, 118 nt
Filed under: Triticum aestivum (bread wheat)
Lineage: Eukaryota; Viridiplantae; Streptophyta; Magnoliopsida; Poales; Poaceae
Source: RNAcentral
GGAUGCGAUCAUACCAGCACUAAAGCACCGGAUCCCAUCAGAACUCCGAAGUUAAGCGUGCUUGGGCGAGAGUAGUACUAGGAUGGGUGACCUCCUGGGAAGUCCUCUGUUGCAUUCC